Molecule: long non-coding RNA, 1295 nt
Filed under: Numida meleagris (helmeted guineafowl)
Lineage: Eukaryota; Metazoa; Chordata; Aves; Galliformes; Numididae
Description: lncRNA (ENSNMEG00000002309.1)
Source: RNAcentral
GGACAGUGACAAUGAUGGGGGGGACACGGAGGGGACAAUGACACAGAGGGGACAGUGACAAUGGCAGGAAGGGGACAAUGACAAUGACAGGGGGGGACAAUGACAAUGACAAUGGCAAUGACAAUGGCAGGAAGGGGACAAUGAAUGACAAUGGCAGGGAGGGGACAAUGAAUGGCAAUGAGGGGACACGGAGGGGACAAUGACAGGGAGGGGACAAUGACAAUGACAAGGGGGGACAAUGGCAAGGACAGGGAGGGGACACGGAGGGGACAAUGACAAUGACAGGGACAAUGACAGUGAUGGGGGGGACAAUGACAAUGAGAGGGGGGGACAAUGAAUGGCAAUGAGGGGACACGGAGGGGACAAUGACAGGGAGGGGACAAUGACAAUGACGGGGGGGACAAUGGCAAUGGCAAUGACAAUGACAAUGGCAGGAAGGGGACAAUGACAAUGACAGGGAGGGGACACGGAGGGGACAAUGACAGGGAGGGGACAAUGACAAUGACAAUGACAAUGGCAAUGGCAAUGAGGGGACACAGAGGGGACAAUGAGCGACACAGGGGGACAUAGGGGUGACAAUGGCACAGAGGGGACAAUGGGGACACAGAGGGGACACAGAAGGGGUGACAAUGACACAGAGGGGACACAGAGGGGACAAUGAUGGCACAGAGGGGGCAGAGAGGGGACAAUGAGUGACACCAAGGGGACAGAGAGGGGACACAGGUGACAGUGACCCCGAGGGGACAGAGAGGGGACAGUGAGUGACACAGAGGGGACACAGAGAGGACAGAGAAGGGGGGACAAUGACACCGAGGGGACACAGAGGGGACAGUGAUGGCACAGAGGGGACAGAGACACCGGUGACAAUGACACCGAGGGGACAGAGAGGGGACACAGAGGGGACAAUGAGUGACACCGAGGGGACAAUGAGUGACACCGAGGGGACACAGAGGGGACAAUGAGUGACACCGAGGGGACAGAGAGGGGACACAGAGGGGACAGAGAGGGGACAAUGAGUGACACAGAGGGGACAAUGAAUGACACCGAGGGGACACAGGGGGGGGACAAUGACACCGAGGUGACACAGAGGGGACACAGAGGUGACAAUGACCCCGGAGGGGACACAGAGGGGACAACGGGUGACACCGAGGGGACACAGAGAGGACAGAGAAGGGGGGACAAUGACACAGAGGGGACACAGAGGGGACAAUGGUGACACAGAGGGGACAAUGAAUGACACCGAGGGGACAGAGGGGGGGGACAAUGACACCGAGGGGACAGAGAGGGGACAAUGA